Pseudophryne corroboree (corroboree frog) is the source of this 274-nucleotide long non-coding RNA. RefSeq lists it as uncharacterized. The transcript has 3 exons. Lineage: Eukaryota; Metazoa; Chordata; Amphibia; Anura; Myobatrachidae. The record is from RefSeq and is a predicted model, not a curated record.
UUCCAUGGUCACGGAUUUCAUGUUGUAUUGUAUCCCUGCUUCCGCCCGGUGCCGUCUGACUGUGAUGACGUCAGCGGAAACACAGGGGGGAGCCGCGUACCGAACACACAUUUGCACCAUGGUAUAAAGUACACUUACCCGACCCUUCUGGCACCCAAUGGCUGCUGCCUGUCAGGAGGAGACAUGGCCACGACCACACCCACUCAAGUACCUGGGGCAAGUCUUCUUCUCUACUCUCCAGCUGGCACCUGUGUAAAACUUGUAAACAAAGCAA